AGGUAUUCGCUUAGUUCUUUGGAAUUUGAGAGGAAAGUCCGGACACCAUAGGGCAGGAUUCCCUGUGAAAACAGGGGCACUCCGUAUAAAACGGAGUGACGGAAAGUGUCACAGAGAACAAACCGCCCUGAACUUGUUGAGGGGUAAGGGUGAAAAGGUGGGGUAAGAGCCCACCGCGCUUACGAGUAAUCGUAGCGGCUCGAUAAACCCAAUCUGGUGCAAGACAAAAUAGGAGGUCAGGUUGCCCGCCUAACGACCUCGGGUAUGUCGCGCUCCCUUAGUGGAGAACAGUAUUCACUGUUAGAUAAAUGAAUACCCGCCAUUAUUGGCGACAGAAUCCGGCUUACAGA
Molecule: RNase P RNA, 350 nt
Filed under: marine eukaryotic metagenome
Description: Bacterial RNase P class A
Rfam family: Bacterial RNase P class A
About the family: Ribonuclease P (RNase P) is a ubiquitous endoribonuclease, found in archaea, bacteria and eukarya as well as chloroplasts and mitochondria. Its best characterised activity is the generation of mature 5'-ends of tRNAs by cleaving the 5'-leader elements of precursor-tRNAs. Cellular RNase Ps are ribonucleoproteins.
Source: RNAcentral